This 253-nucleotide ribosomal RNA is filed under the name uncultured prokaryote. RNAcentral describes it as "partial 16S ribosomal RNA". It matches the Rfam family "Bacterial small subunit ribosomal RNA", at positions 524 to 776 of the family's 1533-position model. The record is from RNAcentral.
UACAGAGGUCUCGAGCGUUAAUCGGAGUCACUGGGCUUAAAGGGUGCGUAGGCGGACCCGUAAGUGCUUUGUGAAAUCCCAUGGCUUAACCAUGGAAUGGCUUGGCAUACUGCGGGUCUUGAGGUCGGUAGAGGCUGCUGGAACUCUAGGUGGAGCGGUGAAAUGCGUAGAUAUCUAGAGGAACGCCGAUGGUGAAGACAGGCAGCUGGGCCGAAUCUGACGCUGAGGCACGAAAGCGUGGGGAGCGAACGGG